GUCAGUCCACCAGCCUCUGUUUCAGGAGGAAACCUCGAGCCCCAAAGACAAAGUGCCUGAGGUAAUCCAUUCCGGGGCUCCCUUGGAUGCUGAUCUACCUGUUUCUGGGCACCAGCACGAAGAGCCUGAUGCCGAGGUGGCCCACCUGGAGGAGAACUUCUCCCAGAACGGGUCGCUGCCCCAGACGCCGGAGCCGGAGAGAUACCUCAAGAACCACUUUGAAACUGGCUGGCGACCCCCUUGAAGGUAAACAGGCAGCGGUCUCUGCCAGGCGCAAGAAACCAGGCUGGGGAUGGAGUUCCAAAGCACCACCAGCGCAUUUCAUGCAGCCUGGACUCAGGAAUUCAACCUAAUUUAGGGUCAAGGCUGGUAAUUGGAACCAUAGAAGAGUUUAAAGAUUCUAGAUUUUAACUUAGAUGCUCCUAGACUAGGUAACAUCAUCAGCAAACUCCACUCCCUAUGGGCACUGAUGGUGUUGCCUAGUAGGGUCUUCAAGAAAACCACCCAACUCAGAGAGCACCAAGGACCCCAGAGUUCUCUUCCUCCUCCUCCUUCCCACAAAUCCCACUGUCUUCUACCCCUGAUGAUGUUCCCUAGAUGGGUCAUGAAAUGUUUUCAGGAAAACCACCAAGCGGAGAGAGCGCCAAGGAGCCCACAAAUCAGCCCCGAGCUACCAAAGUUGCCUUCUAUUGGCACUUGGACAAAUUCUCUGCCUUCCUUUUUGUGCACAGAAACGUUUGACGGUUGCAUCAGAGACUGGCAGUCGUUUGGGGAGAGUGAGGACGGAGGGAGCCCGCUUCUGAAUCCUCGCCUGAGCAUCUCCGCCAGGUUUCUCUCGCGCGCUCAGAAGAACUGCAGGUUGGCUGCUUCUGCUCACGCUGGCUCUCCAUUUGUGGGGGCGCUUCGCCUGGAAACCGGCUCUGAGGUGCUUCUCUUCCCUACAGAUUUGCGGCUGCAUUUUUCCCAAGAGUCUGCCCGCUGGUGCAGGCAGCCACUGCCGAACACCUCUCAGAGGAGUGCGUACCACUCAGCGAUUUCACAAAACUCAAGGCAAAUCUUAAACCUCCCCCAGAAACCCACCCUGAGGUGA
Molecule: long non-coding RNA, 1090 nt
Filed under: Naja naja (Indian cobra)
Lineage: Eukaryota; Metazoa; Chordata; Lepidosauria; Squamata; Elapidae
Description: lncRNA (ENSNNAG00000016748.1)
Source: RNAcentral